Long non-coding RNA from Dermacentor silvarum, 799 nucleotides. RefSeq lists it as uncharacterized. NCBI's taxonomy places the organism in Eukaryota, Metazoa, Arthropoda, Arachnida, Ixodida, Ixodidae. The transcript has 3 exons. The record is from RefSeq and is a predicted model, not a curated record.
UAGUUGUGGGUAACCCGGCACAAAAUUUUAGUAUGCGAGUGUACUGGUUAAUAUUUUUGUCAUCACAGAGGCCACAACAUUCACACAAGUAUGCAGGUGGCGCUAUUGUUUUUCCUCCGUGUUCUGUGAUGGCGGUCGUAUGUGCGGGGUGCUACGAGCGUCGCGUUUGUUUGAUCGUGUGUUUUUGUGUUUGCUGCUAUGAAGUAGGUCGCAGUUAGCGUGCACAGAAGUGCCUGAAGAUACCUUGUGUCACGCUGCAAACUCGCCGUAUGCGUGGCGCGCCAGGCAAAUGUGGCCCAACGAUUUUAUGCCGUGGAGUGCGGUCUCUUUGUUCUCGUUCUGGAAAGUUGGGUGGACGUCGCAAAGAAUGUGUGUUAGCGCGCCUCAGCUCGUCCACUACGCAGCGGCAUGUAUGCGGGGAGUAACAUCGUCGACGCAGCACCGGCAACUUGGAGAGUGCUUCGCGACCGCGUCGUACCAUUCAAAAGUGGCGAGGCUGUGACCCAUAACAGUGCCUACAUAACGGAGGAGCCACCAGACCCCUUGGCUAUGCCUGCCGUAGUGCAACGUAUAAUCUGGAUGGUCGGGUCAGGUACACCUAGGAAAUGUUGUAUACAUUGGCAACGAUAACUGGGGCCUGUUCCAGUGCCAUCGCCGGGAUUCCCUGUUCUGCAAAGAACUGACAUAACUGAUGUGGGGAGCCCUGGCGCUCGGUGUAGGAGUAUCACAGGGGCUCCUUGUCGAUGCUUGAAGGACGGCAAUGCUGUUGAGAAGCCGACAUUGAGCCCCGAUAAAUUGG